This 429-nucleotide ribosomal RNA is filed under the name Chloroflexota bacterium. Its description in RNAcentral is "Chloroflexi bacterium partial 16S ribosomal RNA". It matches the Rfam family "Bacterial small subunit ribosomal RNA", at positions 355 to 776 of the family's 1533-position model. Lineage: Bacteria; Bacillati; Chloroflexota. The record is from RNAcentral.
UGGGGAAUAUUGCACAAUGGGCGCAAGCCUGAUGCAGCCAUGCCGCGUGUGUGAAGAAGGCCUUCGGGUUGUAAAGCACUUUCAGCGGGGAGGAAGGCGGUGAGGUUAAUAACCUCACCGAUUGACGUUACCCGCAGAAGAAGCACCGGCUAACUCCGUGCCAGCAGCCGCGGUAAUACGGAGGGUGCAAGCGUUAAUCGGAAUUACUGGGCGUAAAGCGCACGCAGGCGGUCUGUCAAGUCGGAUGUGAAAUCCCCGGGCUUAACCUGGGAACUGCAUUCGAAACUGGCAGGCUAGAGUCUUGUAGAGGGGGGUAGAAUUCCAGGUGUAGCGGUGAAAUGCGUAGAGAUCUGGAGGAAUACCGGUGGCGAAGGCGGCCCCCUGGACGAAGACUGACGCUCAGGUGCGAAAGCGUGGGGAGCAAACAGG